GGACUACACGGGUAUCUAAUCCUGUUUGCUCCCCUUGCUCUCGCGCCUCAGCGUCAGGUAUAAACUAGAAAGCCGCUUUCGCCACCGGUGUUCCUCCACAUAUCUACGCAUUUCACCGCUACACGUGGAAUUCCGCUUUCUCCGUCAAUCCUCUAGACAGACAGUUUCAAAUGCAGCACCAAAGUUGAGCUUUGGUAUUUCACAUCUGACUUAUCAAUCCGCCUACGCGCCCUUUACGCCCAAUAAUUCCGAUUAAUGCUUGCACCCUACGUAUUACCGCGGCUGCUGGCAC
Molecule: ribosomal RNA, 292 nt
Filed under: uncultured bacterium
Lineage: Bacteria
Description: partial 16S ribosomal RNA
Source: RNAcentral